This 396-nucleotide ribosomal RNA is filed under the name Triticum aestivum (bread wheat). RNAcentral's name for it is "partial small subunit ribosomal RNA". Lineage: Eukaryota; Viridiplantae; Streptophyta; Magnoliopsida; Poales; Poaceae. The record is from RNAcentral.
UUGCUUCAGGACGUCCACCUCCACGAGGAUACGGAGGAUUCUACCACUUCGAAGCACACAAUAAAUGGUGAAUAUACCGUGGCCUCGGUUUGUAAGGUGCAGUUCUUGGGCAUUGUUCGCACAAAGAUGAAUAACACCAUUUGGAUGGGUUGGGUACCCCCUAAAAUCAAGUUCUUUGCUUGGCUAGCAAUUCAAACCGCUUUGCCAAGCGAUGUUGGGACAAUUGCGGACUUCGACCGUUAUGCAAGAGAGAGCAAGAAUCCGCUGCACAACUCUUUUACAAACAUGGUUUGGGCACCCCCAAAAAUCAGGUUCUUUGCUUGGCUAGCAAUUCAAAAUCGUGUUUGGACCGUCAACCGCUUGGCCAAGCGAGGUUGGGACAAUUGCAGACAUUGA